AUUGGGUAGGGGAGCGUUCUGUAAGCGGUUGAAGGUGUGUGGUAACGCAUGCUGGACGUAUCAGAAGUGCGAAUGCUGACAUGAGUAACGAUAAAGGGGGUGAAAAACCUCCUCGCCGGAAGACCAAGGGUUCCUGUCCAACGUUAAUCGGGGCAGGGUAAGUCGACCCCUAAGGCGAGGCCGAAAGGCGUAGUCGAUGGGAAACGGGUUAAUAUUCCCGUACUUCUUACAAUUGCGAUGGGGGGACGGAGAAGGCUAG
RNAcentral lists this ribosomal RNA (259 nucleotides) under Vibrio diabolicus. RNAcentral describes it as "partial 23S ribosomal RNA". It matches the Rfam family "Bacterial large subunit ribosomal RNA", at positions 1223 to 1485 of the family's 2925-position model. Lineage: Bacteria; Pseudomonadati; Pseudomonadota; Gammaproteobacteria; Vibrionales; Vibrionaceae. The record is from RNAcentral.